This 250-nucleotide ribosomal RNA is filed under the name uncultured bacterium. RNAcentral describes it as "partial 16S ribosomal RNA". It matches the Rfam family "Bacterial small subunit ribosomal RNA", at positions 524 to 773 of the family's 1533-position model. The record is from RNAcentral.
CACGUAGGGGGCAAGCGUUGUUCGGAAUUACUGGGCGUAAAGGGCAUGUAGGCGGUCCUGUAAGCCUGGCGUGAAAGGCUGCGGCUCAACCGCAGCACUGCGCUGGGAACUGCAAGACUUGAGUCACGGAGGGGAAGCUAGAAUUCCGGGUGUAGGGGUGAAAUCUGUAGAUAUCCGGAAGAAUACCAGUGGCGAAGGCGAGCUUCUGGCCGAUGACUGACGCUGAGGUGCGAAAGCGUGGGGAGCAAAC